Molecule: long non-coding RNA, 926 nt
Organism: Nycticebus coucang (slow loris)
Lineage: Eukaryota; Metazoa; Chordata; Mammalia; Primates; Lorisidae
Exons: 4
Source: RefSeq, a predicted model, not a curated record
CCUCCCCAGCUCCCCCAAAGCGGAGGUCACCUUCUGCCGGCCAGGCGGUCUCCGUUCCCGGCCGGUGUCGCGUCUCACAGGCCCGGGGAUGCAGAGACCCGCGGUUUCUAAGACCUGCCUCCCUCCGACUCUUCUGGAUUUCAACGCCCUGGUUCAGAUAGAUUUAGCCCAAAUAGAAAUGAAUUUCUAUGUUGCGUUCCGGUUCAACUUCAGAGGACCAGUCUUAGCCCUAAGAUGUUGUCGAUGUGUUUCUCUGGAAUUGUACAGGAGCUUCUGAACAUUUUAAAAGGAUGUUUGCUUUGAGUGUCUGAAAAACGUUAGUGGAAAAUGCUUUGAGUAAACAUGUUCUACUUCUGGAGAAAGGCCUUCUUGUGGUCUCCUGUGGGCGGAGACGAUGACUCUGUGAAAGUCACCUCAGAUAAGCCUUAACUUGCAAAUAAAAGGUAAAGAAUCAAACAGGAUGAAAAUGCUUACAGUGCUGUGUAUUGUAAGCUUCUGUCUCAGCUCCCAUCCUGAUCCUCAGACCAACUGCUCAUUCUUUCUGACUUCUUGAACUAUAGUAUGGAAACCAGCUGCUGUUUCUCUUCUCUCCUGUUCUCAUUUAAAGUAUUAAUGAGAUCUCUGUAAGUAAAAUUUCUGAGUCAAAAAGCAGAACGAACUGUUUUCCAUAAGGCCCUAUCCUUCCAUCCUCCCCCAACUGUGUCUUUCUUUUUACACUUUUGUUAUAGUGAAUAUUAUUAUUUUUCCAGCUUGUCAGGUGACAAUGGUAUUUUGUUCUCUGAUUAUUGAUAAAGAUACAUACCUUUGCAUUUGCAGUUUAAAAUUUUUUUUUCAUAAUCUGCUAAUCUGCCAGGGUGGACCUUUGUCUUGUUUUGUUUUCUUUACCUAGUGACUCUAUUCACCUUACUUCUAAAACUAACCGUGGG